Molecule: non-coding RNA, 12178 nt
Organism: Zootoca vivipara (common lizard)
Lineage: Eukaryota; Metazoa; Chordata; Lepidosauria; Squamata; Lacertidae
Source: RefSeq, a predicted model, not a curated record
CAGCCCCCUCCCUCCCUCUUUCUCCCUCGGUCUCUUCCUGUGCAGUGUGGGAUUUCACUUCCCCGCCGCGCUAUGGCAAGGACGGGCUCUGCUGAAGAAGCAGCAGCAGCAGGCAGAGCCGCCGAGGAUCAGGGCCCGGCCCGGGGGCGCAGCCUCCGCCGCUGCGCUUAAGCUGGCGAGCUGACGGGGCUGCACCGGACUCGCCUUCCCCGUUCGCACGACCCCCCACGCACCCACUCACCCCGCAAAAACCCCUCGCACCCCAUCCCCACCUUUCAGCCUUCCCCGUUGCUCCUCGAUUUCUCUUGCGCACCCGAGCCUCCGGAUCGCGGGCAGCGCGCAGCGGACGGGAUCCGCCUCGGAGGGAUGGCUGGCUCCGGCACGGAUUUCCCCGGCGACUGGCGGCGGAGGCGGCAGCAGGAGCAGGCGGGUCCCUGCGCGCACUGAGGGCGGCGGGGAAGGCGACGCGAGGAUCUAAAUCUGUGACCACUCUGCUCUGGGAGGACGGCAAGGGAAAAGAGCGAGGGAGCGCCAAAGAGGAGACGGAAGAGAAGAGGAGAGCUUGCAGAUAACAAGGCCCAGCCAUGCAGUCCUUCCGCGAAAGGUGUGGUUUCCAUGGCAACCAGCAGAACUACCAGCCGGCAUCUUCACAAGAUUCAUCACGCCUGGAGAAUUACAGGCAUCAAAGCCAGGCCGGGCCGCACUGCGAGCGUCAGAGGAUGGUGGCAAAGGAGUACUACGGCCAGCAGCAGCAGCCGCCACCGCCACCGCCGCAGCCCCCCCUGCCUUACCAGGGGUACGGGGAGAACAGCACCGUGGAGAAAUACCACCGGGGGAAUAAGCAGCUACGCAGCCAGCAACUCCCAGGCCGGCCGGCGUCCUUCCCAAAUUACGCUGUCCAAGAGAACAGUCCCUAUCCGGCCCGUUAUUCCGGAGAGGAAAGCCUGCAGGCCUGGGGGUCACCGCAGCAACAGCCACCUCCACCCCCACAACCCUUGCCAGGAGGGGUGGCUAAAUAUGAGGAGAACUUGUUGAAAAAGACAGCCGCCUCCUCUAGCAGCAGGCAGUACCACGAGCAGGCCCCUCAGCUCCCGUUCCGAACUCAUUCCCUGCACCUCCAGCAGCAGCAGCAGCAGCAGCAACAGCAGCAACAGCAGCCGCCCACCUUGACCUACCCCAAGCUCCCGAGGCAGAAAAUCCAGAAUGACGUGGCCUCCCCCAUGCCCUUCCCGCAGGGCGCCCACUUCAGCCAGCAUUCCCAGUCGUUCCCGGCCUCCUCGACGUACACGUCCGUCCAGAGCGGGAGCCAGGCCGCACAUUCCUACAAAAGCUGCAACGCUCCCUCGGCGGCACCGCAGCAUGAAAGGACUCUGGGCAACGUCUCCAGCCUGCCCUCUGGGCAGCGGGUCCAGGGCCUACAUGGCUACCAGCCUAACCGAAUCAGCUACGACCAGCAGCAGCAGCAACAACAACAACAGCAGCAGCAGUCCAUGCAAGGAAGACACCAUGCCCAGGAAGCCCUUCACUAUCAGAACCUCGCAAAAUACCAACAUUAUAACCAGCCGGGACAGAGCUACUGCCAAGCCGACGCCCCUGUGCGGACUCCAGACCAGUAUUACCAAACUUUCAGCCCCAGUUCCAGCCAUUCCCCAGCUCGUUCGGUUGGUAGGUCUCCCUCGUACAGUUCGACGCCUUCCCCGUUGAUGCCCAACUUGGAGAACUUCCAAUACAGCCAGCAGUCUCUGAGCGCGGGGAGCUUCCCAGCCAGCCUCGCCGACCACAGCCAUUUUAUGCCUUUGUUGAACCCUUCGCCCACCGACGGGGCGAGCCCAGAUGCUCAGCCGCCCGCAAACUGCAAGAGCAUGCCGAAGGAGAAGAUCCCCGAGAACCUCUUGUCGGAUCUCAGCCUGCAGAGCCUCACGGCGCUCACCUCCCAAGUCGAAAACAUUUCCAACACCGUCCAGCAGCUUCUCCUCUCCAAGUCCACGGGGAUGCCCCAGAAGAAAGGCCUAAAGAACCCGCCGAGGACCCCGGAGCAGCUCAAGGGCCAGCACUGCAGCCCCGAAGGCAACAAUUACUCCGCCGAGCAGGCGGGGACUCCCCUUUCAGACCCCCUGAGCACCCCGCAGUCGGUCCACGCUGAAACCCAGGAUGGGGAUUACCUGAGUGGAUCUGAGGAGCAGCUGGAAAGGAGCUUCCUCUAUUGCAACCAGAGCCGCAGCCCGGCUCGCGUCAACAGCAACUCCAAGGCAAAGCCUGAGUCCGUAUCCACGUGCUCGGUGACUUCCCCGGACGACAUGUCCACCAAGUCAGACGACUCAUUCCAAAGCAUCCACACCAGCUUGCCGCUGGAGAGCUUCACCAAGUUUGUGACCAACGAGAGGGACUGCCCGAGACUGCUCCUCAGCGCCCUUUCUCAGGAGGAGCUCGCCUCUGAGAUCAUCGGUUUGCAAGAUGCUAUCAACGAGAAAGCAGACAAAGGCUGGGCCAGCCCCCCUGCUCCAAACAAAGACCCCGACAAAUCCCCUUUCCACUUAGAGAACCACAGAACCUGCCUGGAUUCCAUAGUCAAAAGUCCAUGGUCCAACCAGGGGGACUCAAAUGCCCUCGCCGAGCCCUUGAAGUUGGACAAAGCUCUGGGGGGGAAUAACGGGAAGAAUUUCACCGAGGAAGUCUACAACAACUCCCAGGUGGCGUUUACAACAGCAGAGACGAAAAAUACCCUGAAAACGACCAGCUCUGUGGGCUACAAUUCCAAACCCAACAUCUCGGCUGCCACUUCCAGCUCCGAGGCCACGAGCUUCAGCUGCUACUCAAAUGCCACGGCCAAUUCGGUGGGUUCUGAAAACGCCAUGGAGAACUUCGAUUGGCCGGACGAAAACCUCAGCGACACGUGGAAAGAGCUGGGGUCGAGCCUCCAAGGGUCAGACAUUUCCAAGAGUUUGUUCUCCGGCAAACUGAGCGAGACGUCUGAGGAGAAAAAAACUGCUUGCUGCCUGAGUCUCUGCGAUGCUGAGCAGGCGCCCCAACAAGCAGAGGGCUUCGAUCAGCCGCAGGAGGCAAGCAAGGGAGAGAAUCUGACUUACGACGAGGCCACCAGAGCAGACAGUGAGCGAUGGCUGGAAGACACCACUAGGCAGUCCUGCUCAGGAGGAGACUUCAGUGAACUUCCCAUGAUGUCCUCUCCAGACCUGAAAGAAUCCGAUUUGGAACCGGAAGAGUACUCCUCUUUGUGUGAACUAGCGGCUUCCGAACAAAAGUCUUUGACCUAUGAUGCUUUUACACCUAAGGCAGCGGAGAACGCCCCGGCCCUCUCCCUGCAAGACACGCCAGGUUCAGCAGAAGAAAUGGCAAACGCGGCCGAGAAAGAGAACGCCACUCCUCCUUCGCACUUAUCUGAUCAAUCUGUUAUCCUCUUGGGCCCGGCUGUUGGCACGGAGACAAAAGUGAAAAGUUGGUUCGAAUCUUCCCUGCACCACUUGAAGCCUGAGGAGGAGGAGGUGGUGGGGAGUGAAAACGCCUUUCCAGAUGAUAAGGCAGAGACGCUGGCAGCUUCGCUAGUGACUAACCAAGCCUCUCUUGAGCAGGUGCCAAUAACCUCAGAGCCAACAUCUAGGGGCAAGAGCCUCCGCAGUAAGAAGGUCCACUGCAGGCUGUCGGGAGGCGAGGAACCCGUCCAACCCAUGUCAAGCCCAUGCACGGGCAACCAGGCAGCUGGCAUGGUGGCCAGCAAAUGCCCAGGUCCAAACAACCUGAUUGAAAUGCCAAGUAAGAGUGCCCAUGGCCAAACUCCCCGGUUUCCAGCAGAAGGCUUGCCAGCAAGGAUGUGUACCCGCUCGUUCACCGCCUUGACUGAACCCAGGGUGCCAGAUCCUUUGGAAGGUGCAAAGGCCUCGACCCCUCAAGAGAAGUCGGGCAAGAAGACGGCGUGCGUCCUGAAACAGAGAGCCGCUUUCAAAGCUAGGAAGGCCAAUGGCAAACCCAGCAACGCUGCUUCCCCACCGGUCCCAAAUUUGGCGCAGAGCGAAGACUCUGAUCACAAGGCGAAAGAAGCCGAUGGUGUUGAAAUGGAAGCGAAAGAUCAGCAGUCCAUGAUCCUUCGUUCCAGGACCAGGACCCAGGAGGUCUUCUACAGCAAGCGGAGGAGAGAGAAGAGCGCCAUGGAUGCGGGGCUCAAGGAGGGCAAGCCACCCAAGAAGGUCCUUCCAAACAACCAUUUCCCCGGUUCCUUCAAGGUCAGUCCCCAAAGCAGGUCUGAAAGGGAGAGGAAAAGGCUGGCACUCCCGAAAGCCAGGCCUGGAAUGGGUGGCAAGAUGUCCGAGCAGCCGCUUCACAGCCUGAAGAGGAAGUCCGCCUUCAUCCCACCGGUUCCUGCGAAAAAGAGGAACUUGGUCCUGAGGAGCAACAGUCACAGCGGCAGCAACGGGAAGGAUGAGAAGCCGGGAGCUUCCGCCGGCCUGUUCAAGAGGAUGCCGCUGGCCAAAAAGGCGAAAGCUAAGCUGUCCCCUAAGAACUCCUGCGAAGUGGUGCUCAAGUCCCCUCAGGUGAAGGAGAACCCUGACGUCUGCAUCAAGAUCACCUCUCGGGCCGCCUUCCAGGGAGCGAUGAAGACGAAAGUGCUUCCCCCAAGGAAAGGCCGGGGCCUGAAGCUGGAAGCCAUCGUCCAGAAGAUCACCUCUCCCAACCUGAAAAAGUUUGCCUGCCGAACAGCCACCGUCUCCUUCACCGUCCCUGCCGCCACCUCCCACAGUAAUCCCCUCAGCCCGUCCCUGCCACCGGAGAGAGAGCAGGCCUCAAAGAAUGCAGGCGCAGCCCCAGCGGCGGGGGAAGCCAGGCCAUUAAACCAGGCCUUGUCACAAAAGGCUCCCGCCGCUCCAGCAGCCGAGCAAUUAUGCAGAAGCCCGAACAACAGAUCCUUCAGAGGAAAACUAAUGAACAGUAAGAAACUGUCCUCCAACUGUUUCAAGGGUGAGGCCUAUUCAUCUCCCGAGACGUUGCAGCACAGCGGUGACGGCAUGGCUGCCAGCGGCACCGGCCUGCUGCCCAAGAAGAGGAACCGAAAAGGGAAAGUGGCGGCCUUCCGAACGGCCAAAAAUAGCCUGGAGAAGUGCCCUCACCUGAGCCCUGCUCUGCUUUUUGCAUCCAGAGAAAAGGCGGUGGCUGCAGCGGCGGCGGCAGCAGGGAAAGGCGAGGAGGGACAAAGGGAGGCGAAGAAGCCAAAGGCCGAGGACAAAGGCUUCAGCAGCGCCGAGAGCUCCGAGGGGAGGUCCUCGCAGGCCCAGACCAGGGCCCAGAAGCAGCGGGCCAACCAUUCCAACUACAAUGGCUACACCAAGAGACAAAGGAAGCGGCUCAGCCACCGCAAGGCCCCCAGCGUGCCCUCGAGGUGCAAGAGCAGGGCCAAGAGGCGGCACCCGCAACAGGCUCCCCUGCUGAGCCCGGCCGAGCCCGAAAUCCGGCUCAAGUACGUGUCGUGCAAGCGGCUGCGGUCGGACAGCCGGGCGCCCCCCUUCUCGCCAUACGUCCGGGUGGAGAAGCAGGAUGAGUUCGUCACCACCUGCACUGUCGUCAACUCUCCCGCCGAAGAGGCCCGGCUGCACAAUAGCGAGCGCUCCUCCUCAUCUCCGUCUGCCCAGGCCGGGCUUUCGGGGGCCGCAUCCCUCCAGCAGCUGCGAGCCGCCCUGCCUCUGUCGUCCGCCAUGCACCUCGGCCCGGUGGUAUCCAAGGCCCUCAACGCCACCUGCCUGGUCUGCUGCCUGUGCCGGAACCCGGCCAACUACAAGGACCAGGGGGACCUCUGCGGGCCGUACUACCCCGAGGACUGCCUUCCGAAGAAGAAGUCGCGGCUGAAAGAGAAGAUCAAAGUGGAGGGGCUGGGUGAGGAGCCUCCGUCUCCGGCGGAAAGGCUGCUCAAAGCGACAGAUAAUAAUUGUGCAACUAGUACGCCGGGUGGAAAGCCGCCAAGGUUGGACAGUGGCGCUGACUCAGCAAAACAGAGUGCUCUCCGCUCCAGUUCGAGGGGGAUGUUUAGGAAACUACAAAGCUGUUACUGCUGCGAUGAGAGGACAGAGGGAGAGGAGGCGGCGGCGGUGGCGGCAGCCGCCGAGAAGCCCAGGAGGCACGAAUGCGGCAAAGCGGAGCCGCCACCUCCGGACCCUGCCGGGGACACGCAGGAGCACUGGGUCCAUGAGGCCUGCGCUGUGUGGACAGCUGGGGUUUACCUGGUGGCGGGAAAGCUCUAUGGACUGCAGGAGGCAAUAAAGAUGGCUGCUGACGUGGUAAGAGUCCGCCCCUUAGCGUAAAGCUCCGCUUGGAGCAGGCCACGGGCGCAGGCGCCAACAGAACCGCCUGCCGUACGCCAAAAGCCAAGACCGCUUUGCAAAAGCAGGAAUGACAAGGUUUGGGGUUGCGGGGCUCUGGGGAGGUGAGCAUGGCAGCCUAACUAAGAGGCCAAAGCUGUAUAAUUUGGAUGUGUUUGGUUGGGCAUUGGGUUCCUACUUGGAAGUUACGGGGAAACCUUUCCUGGAAGAAGCAAAGUAGCCCAGUCGACAGUCUGAUCUGUCUCACCCCAAUGCUGGCUCUUGGCCAACUCUAAAAUUGGUCCUAGAGGGUUGGGGGGGGGGCUUGGCUGCUUUUGCCAUUCAGUCUACUUUCAGUCAGGUUUAUUUUCAUGCCUGGGUAAGGAGAAUGCUCCUUCAUCAGACCAAAUGCCAGGGGUCUCCCCAUUUGCCUUGGGUAGUUCCCCCAUCUUUUCCCAGCAGACAAUGGGGCCUGGGUUUCUUGCUACCUGCAGAGUAGAUGUGCCCCUUUGGAUACCCAUUGCUUAGCGAGAGCAGCAUACUGGGGAGGAACAGGGUCCGUGUGUUUGCAGCAAGCGAUUCCCCACCAACCCUUGAUGCGAAUAUUGCGCCCCAGCAUAAGAUGGAGCCUGGCGCCAUUUUGAGCGGAGCAAUCUAUGCCUCCCUGUGUUGCUGUUUGUGUUUAAGAAAUAUGGUUACUCCGACCAUGACACCCUUGGAGGCUUUCCCUGGAUUCAGUUUCUAGUUGCCGCCAGUGAUGAUCCAGUUAUUGUAUUUAUGGGCUGCUGCCCAAAGACCUUUGCAGCGGCUAAUGCACCUGGGAAGCACAAACGUGGGCCUUAAAAACAAUCGCCUUCUCUGUGCCGCUUCUCCCCAGCAUUUGGUAUACAGGGGUAUACUUCCCUUGUACAUGGAAGUUCCAUUAGCCAGCAUGGUUACCAGCUCUUGGCAGCUCUACGUUCUAUGCAUUCCUUUCAUUCAUACAAAAGCCACCCAGGCUAGCUUGGGUCAGUGAAAUCUGUGCGCCAAUUAUCCAUUGUACAACAGGGCCACCCUCAUUUUCCUAGCAUCCAAACAGUGAUAUGUUGCUGCUGAUGCUGCUGGGAAGAUGCCAUUUGGAGUUUUUGCUGCGCGGCCUCAUCCCCUUCCUGCCUUCCUCUACUUAUGAAAGCCAAAUGAGAUGUUCUGAGGGAUUUGUGGUUGGUAUCCAGAGCAGCACCCCUGUGUCUGAUGGUAAGAGGCAACAGGACGCAAUGUCACCACACUCCAAAGUCCUCUGUCUCCAGGAGAGCAGAAGGCAAAGGAGUGGGAAGAAGGACCAGGUUACAUGGUGCCAUACACCUUUGUUUACUGGGGAGAAGAGGACAUGAGGUCCCUUGCCAUCCACAGCAGCCAUGCAUCUCUUAAUCCCUGGGUUGUGGGUUCGAACCCCAUGUUGGUCAAAAGCUUCCUGCAUUGCAGGGGGUUGGACUAGAUGGCCCUUGUGAUACCUUCCAGUUCUGUGAUCUGUGAUCUCUCUUAAGAGUUGACCCUUGACCAGGCCAUUUGGCUGGAUAAUCUCCCAGCCUUUCAAUCAGGAACCUUGGAUAUCUUAUUCCCUCGCCAUUUCACCCACCACCGGCCAACAUUGCGUUGCGGUCCAGCACAUCCCCAGAAGCACUUUGGCUUGCGUUGUCAUUCUGUGCAUGCACCGUACAUUUGAAGUGCAUGGCUUUCCCCGCAGGAUCCUGGCAACUAUCAUUUCCCCCUUACAGAGCUGCAAUUCCCUUUCUUGGGCAGAAGUCAUGCGCUUGAAAUGUUUGGUGCGCACGCAGCCUCAGCCUGCAUUCCAUCUGCUGCUAGCCUCUGUUCCCAGGCACAUGCUCACAUAGUAUUUGCUCCUCCCACCUGUCCCUGCUUGCCAGCCACCAAACCAAUUUUGCACGAGGUCGAGGACCCACCUCCUGAGCAUUGCAGCUGUACCGCUCAACUCGUUGUGAAAAGGCUGGCGAGCAGAAUCUGAGAAAAAUCAGACAGUCUUUACAACAGGCUGCGGCUCAGGAAAUUAAGAAGGACAAGUGGGGCCUUCAACAACACAGGCUGCAGUGUGAAGUGUCCCUGCUCAGGAUACUCCAUUCCAUCCCCCUUUUGCCCAGUCGUCCCUUUCCUUCCUCUCCCAGCAGCCCUUCAACAUUCUGUGCCCACUGCGUUUUGUUCCCUUGGGCUGGCAAUGACCUGUCCUUGCAGCCUUCAUUUGGUUUCCACUUGAUUCAAAUGGUUUCAUCUUCAAGGACUGAGUUCACACAUGGUGCUGGUAAGGCAUGCAGUGGACGAUAACGAUGAUUUAAAUGUAUUUAUAUCCUGGCUUUCUCCCAAGGUGGGAUUCAAGGAGGCUUGCAGCAUCUAAAAACAUCAUUGUAGAGUACAACGUAAUAAACACAAACUAGAUAAAAGCAAUUGUUAAAACACAUUGAAAUCCAGCCUGACUUGACAGCAGCCCAGCAAUCGGCAUCACCUGCACCUAAGUUUUCAAAGACCUGUCUGAACAGGAGGCUCUUGGGCUGCCGGCAGAUAGAUAAUCGAGAGGGAGCUAGUCUAACUUCUCAUGGGAGAGAAUAUGGGCUCGCUUAUUCUGCAGCCUGCCACUCCAGCGUUCCACUCCAGGUUUAGUGGAUUAUAGAUAAUGAGCCUUACGGUUCUAACACCAGGAUGUUUCAUGGCUACUCUUAAAUGGGAGGUGUAGCCUCCCAGUAUGAGAACAUAAGGACACAAGGCUUGUCUCUUUUAGUUCAAGCUAAAGUUCCAUCAGAGGGACCCAGGUGGCGCUGUGGUUAAACCACUGAGCCUAGGGCUUGCUGAUCAGAAGGUCGGCGGUUCGAAUCCCUGUGACAGGGUGAGCUCCCGUUGCUUGGUCCCAGCUCCUGCCAACCUAGCAGUUCGAAAGCACGUCAAAAUGCAAGUAGAUAAAUAGGAACCGCUACAGCGGUAAGGCAAAUGGCGGAGUCGGUCAUGACUGGACCUAAUGGUCAGGGGUCCCUAUACCUUUAAAGUUCCAUCAAGCCCCACAUUCUGUCCCAAGUUGAAUGGAAACCCAGAAAGCUUGCCUUCCCCCCUUCUAGAUCUGGUUCUUGAUCUGACAUCCUGUUCUACUACUUCUUUUUGGUUGAUUGAUUUGAUUUUUCAAAUUAAAAUUUUACAGAGAUAUAUCAAACAUAAAUCGUAAAAACAAGAUUCCAAGGAAUCUCCUGGACUUCCAUCCUCCCCUUUGUGGGUCCUAUUAUUAAUCAUUUCCUCCCGCAUCUUUUAUGAUGAUCCAAAUCUUUUACAUCUCCAUUGUAACCAAAAUUCACCCUCAGACUACAAGUGAUAUUCCAAUCCUACUAACAAUUAUAACUGUUUACAAUGGUCUUUAAGAUAAGAUAUAUCUUUCCCCUAUUCCUUGUUAAAAUUUUGGUCUUCCUGAUUUCUGACUCUUCCGGAAGAAGUCUGCUUCUAACCCCACAAAUGAGCACUCCACCUUGUCAGGUAGAAACUCUUGUGACACCUCAGGUGCUUCUUGAACCUCAAGGUCACGUGGCCUUCAAAAGACUGGGAUAGCUUAGGAGCAGAGGACAGAGGUUACUUCUCCAAGGCAAACUUUUCAUACAACCAGGCAGAAGGGCCUCCCUGGUAGUGGUGCCCACCCUUUGGAACACCCUCCCAUCGGAUGUCAAGGAGAUAAGUAACUAUACAACUUUUAAAAGACAUCUGAAGGCAGCCCUAUACAGUGGUACCUCAAGGUUGCGGACCCAAUCUGUUCUGGGGUGCUGUUCACACCCCAAAAAGUCCACAACCUGAGCGGCAAUAGAGCACAUGCGCAAAAGCACGAUGGAGUGCUUCUGCGCAUGUGCGAAGCGCGCAGAAUGCUUCUGCGCAUGCGCGUGUGGCGGAACCUGAAAGUAAACACUUCCAGGUCCGCCGCGUUCACAACCCAGAAAAACGCAACCCGAGGUAUGACUGUAUAGGGAAGCUUUUUAAUGUUUUAUCAUGUUUUUAUAUAUGUUGGAAGCCGCCCAGAGUGGCUGGGGCAACCCAGGCAGAUGGGCGGGGUACAAAUAAAUUAUUAUUAUUAUUAUUAUUAUUAUUAUUAUUAUUAUUAUUAUUAUUAUCUCAAAAAGCACUUCCUAGUCCUGCAUGCAUACAUUUAGAAAAGCCAAAGCAUUACCGCAACCCACAGAGGAAUCUAAAGCAAUGGCCAAAGUGAAAAAGUCAUCAGCAAGACCAGGGUCUUCCCUGCUAUUAGGUGGGCUAAGGCAGCUGCCUCAAGGAGGCACACGUUGCGGGGCAGAGCAGCAGCAGUGAGAUACUAGAGAUGGCAUAGACCCUCCAUCCCUACCAACAGUGCUGAAGCACAUGGACACCAUACAUUUAAAAUGCAUGGCUCCCCCAGAGAAUUCUGGGAACUGUAGUUGUUCUCCCCAGCAUCCUUAAACUACAGCUCCCAGAAUUCUUUGGAGGAAGCCAAGCUGUUUAAAUCGAUUAUGCAGAUGUGACCUACGUUCAUAAGGAACUUGAAUGACCUGUGAGUGAGUCAAACAAGCGGUUCUAGCUGAAACAUGUGGCAUUAUCUUCUUUUCAGGAAGAUUAUUAAAGGCACGUCGAGGUUUGGGUCUUCUUUGUAAGCCCCAAAUCUCUGCCCCUUCCCCCAUUGCUUUUUAAAUAAACUUUAAAAAAAAACUUUUUUCUUUGCUUACUGGGUAGCUGAGCCUGCUGCAAAGUGCAGAGCCAACAAGGCCCCAGCCAGCCUCCAUCUUCAUUUGCCCACAGGCACUGCACACACUUUAUGUGUUGUAGGCCUGUGGGCCCUCCCAGGUCCUAUGUACCUUGCAGUGCCCCUGCUUGCUUGCACACAUGGAAGUUUGCUUAUUCCAAGGCAACAAACCCCUUAGAUGUUUUCGCCUUCUUCCCGUCAGGCAUGCAAUGUGAAUGCAGUAGGACUUGCAAUGGCCAGAAUUUUUUUUUUUAAGGAAUCAGAGCUGUUUACAACAAUUGUACAUAAAACCCUGCAAUAAAUGCCAUUAAAAAAAACAAUUUACAACUGCAAAACAGCUGUUAUGGAAAGAUGAAUUCUUCGUUGCCUGCAUAGGAGUGAUGGAAUAGAAAAGUUUUCAGCAGUUCUCUACUGAAAGUAGAAACAGAAGGUGCCUGCUGAACCUCUCUUGAUGGAGCAUUAUUCCACAAGACUCGUCCAAGGACACUGAAGGACACUUUCAAAUGAGCCUUACCUGCCUGGAGGACGACCAACGAUGCUCCUGCAGUGAUGGAGCUGGGAUACAACAGUUCAGGCGGCCUUAGAGGUUCCCUAGACCUGAGCUGUUCAGGGCUUUGUAGCGUGAUACGAGGACCUUGAACCUGGCUCUGCAGUAGCAUAUGAGAAUGCUCACACGCGUUACAGAAUCCUCUCUGCUGUGCAAACGAUGGUCAGGCACCCAUGAAACUCACCGUAAGCCCAGUAGGAGAAGAGUAUGUGAUCUUAACCUCCGAUUCUCGUGACCAAGAGCUCUGUGCCUGCACAAAUUUGACAGAGACAGAAUUUAUUUCAAUGGGGAGGUUUAUGCAUAGAGGCUGGGCUGAAUGUUCAUUAUCUAUCAUCGCUAGGCCGCAAGGUGAAGUGACCUGUGGGGGGAAUAGAUGAAGGCAGGAACUGGGACCUGAAUGAUACAUUGAGGUGGCUGGCUGGGCACCAACUGGUCUGCAUUCCAGGUUGCAAAAUGUGUUAUUGGGCUGUGUUGCUUCUGUGCUGGCUGGCAUCAUCUGCUUGUUUUGUUCCCAGGUCUGGGGCUGUUUCUCAGUUACCGUUUCCCACCUUCUGAUUCUCUGCGAGGUGCUCCAGUUGUCAGCAAGUAGGAGCAACCAUUGGC